RNAcentral lists this ribosomal RNA (449 nucleotides) under uncultured bacterium. RNAcentral's name for it is "partial 16S ribosomal RNA". It matches the Rfam family "Bacterial small subunit ribosomal RNA", at positions 29 to 523 of the family's 1533-position model. The record is from RNAcentral.
AGCGAACGCUGGCGGCAGGCCUAACACAUGCAAGUCGAACGGAUCCUUCGGGAUUAGUGGCGGACGGGUGAGUAACACGUGGGAACGUGCCCUUUGGUUCGGAACAACUCAGGGAAACUUGAGCUAAUACCGGAUGUGCCCUUCGGGGGAAAGAUUUAUCGCCAUUGGAGCGGCCCGCGUCUGAUUAGCUAGUUGGUGAGGUAAGGGCUCACCAAGGCGACGAUCAGUAGCUGGUCUGAGAGGAUGAUCAGCCACAUUGGGACUGAGACACGGCCCAAACUCCUACGGGAGGCAGCAGUGGGGAAUCUUGCGCAAUGGGCGAAAGCCUGACGCAGCCAUGCCGCGUGAAUGAUGAAGGUCUUAGGAUUGUAAAAUUCUUUCACCGGGGACGAUAAUGACGGUACCCGGAGAAGAAGCCCCGGCUAACUUCGUGCCAGCCGCCGCAGUAA